CAUCGGCAUGUCAUGUCCCUACAGAAUAUCAUCCACAAAAAAGGUUUAGAGCUGGACCAUGAAGGUUAAUUGGAUCUAGCAGCUAUAUUGUUUUUUAGAACACUGUUAUUAUAUCAAUCAAAAUGAAAAGUGGAUUUUUUUUUUUUUAAGAAUAUUAUGUUCCACUUAUUGUGAUGCAUCUGAAAUUUGUACAUGUCGUCAUCAAGUCUUGGAUCCCAG
RNAcentral lists this unclassified non-coding RNA (219 nucleotides) under Hevea brasiliensis (rubber tree). The record is from RNAcentral. Lineage: Eukaryota; Viridiplantae; Streptophyta; Magnoliopsida; Malpighiales; Euphorbiaceae.